This 394-nucleotide ribosomal RNA is filed under the name uncultured bacterium. RNAcentral describes it as "partial 16S ribosomal RNA". It matches the Rfam family "Bacterial small subunit ribosomal RNA", at positions 523 to 918 of the family's 1533-position model. The record is from RNAcentral.
AUACGGAGGAUCCGAGCGUUAUCCGGAUUUAUUGGGUUUAAAGGGUGCGUAGGCGGUUUGCUAAGCGGGAGGUGAAAUGCCGGCGCUCAACGUCGGAAGUGCCUCCCGAACUGGUGGACUUGAAUGACUCUGCCGUGGGAGGAAUGGGUAGUGUAGCGGUGAAAUGCUUAGAGAUUACACAGAACACCGAUUGCGAAGGCAUCUCACGAAGGGUUGAUUGACGCUGAGGCACGAAAGCGUGGGGAUCAAACAGGAUUAGAUACCCUGGUAGUCCGCACAGUAAACGAUGGACACCCGCGGUUUGGCCUAUAUGGCUGAGCCGCCAAGCGAAAGCGUUAAGUGUCCCACCUGGGGAGUACGCCGGCAACGGUGAAACUCAAAUGAAUUGACGGGG